Molecule: ribosomal RNA, 489 nt
Filed under: uncultured bacterium
Lineage: Bacteria
Description: bacterial SSU rRNA
Rfam family: Bacterial small subunit ribosomal RNA
Source: RNAcentral
AUUGAACGCUGGCGGCAUGCCUUACACAUGCAAGUCGAACGGCAGCACGGGUGCUUGCACCUGGUGGCGAGUGGCGAACGGGUGAGUAAUAUAUCGGAACGUACCUUAUUGUGGGGGAUAACGCAGCGAAAGCUGUGCUAAUACCGCAUACGAUCUAAGGAUGAAAGCGGGGGAUCGCAAGACCUCGCGCGAUUGGAGCGGCCGAUAUCAGAUUAGGUAGUUGGUGGGGUAAAGGCUCACCAAGCCAACGAUCUGUAGCUGGUCUGAGAGGACGACCAGCCACACUGGAACUGAGACACGGUCCAGACUCCUACGGGAGGCAGCAGUGGGGAAUUUUGGACAAUGGACGCAAGUCUGAUCCAGCCAUUCCGCGUGCAGGAUGAAGGCCCUCGGGUUGUAAACUGCUUUUGUACGGAACGAAAAGGUUUGGGUUAAUACCCUGGGCUCAUGACGGUACCGUAAGGAAUUAAAGGCAACCCGGGCUAAACG